GUCCCUUAAAACAAAAGUGGGGAAGGAUCUUAGCUGCCUAAGUUAUUGGACCACAAAGUUUCACUCAUUUUUUCUUCAUGUAUUAAGAUGAUAAGGUCAUUCACGUUAGCCGUCGGGGCCACGAAGCCAGAAAUACAUAUAUAAGGGAAUGGUCCAAACUUGAAUGUAUUAGGGAAUCCUAUUAUAGAUAGGAUUACCUAUUGAUAAGUCGUAUUUGUGUUAAAGAUAAACAUAAGUCUUAGAGAUAAACUCUCGUAGGAAUAGGAUUAAUGUCGGUCAUUGCUCAUGUAUAUAAGUCGUUGUAUGAUGUUCUAGUAAACACAAGUUAACAGUUUACAAUUCA
Brassica oleracea var. oleracea is the source of this 343-nucleotide long non-coding RNA. RefSeq lists it as uncharacterized. The record is from RefSeq and is a predicted model, not a curated record. Lineage: Eukaryota; Viridiplantae; Streptophyta; Magnoliopsida; Brassicales; Brassicaceae. The transcript is spliced from 2 exons.